Molecule: long non-coding RNA, 3466 nt
Filed under: Lupinus angustifolius (narrow-leaved blue lupine)
Lineage: Eukaryota; Viridiplantae; Streptophyta; Magnoliopsida; Fabales; Fabaceae
Description: long non-coding RNA (LANG_LNC002540)
Source: RNAcentral
AGAAGUUGUCUGCCACCUGCAGCCACUAUCCUACCCAAUCGAGUACCGCCAAAAUUGGAAUUAUCUUCGUUGAGGUUUUGUUGGUCACCAUUACCGGACAUUCCACCUGUGUUCAAGGCAAAAGCUACUCUCCACCCAGAUUUUAUCAGGAAACUGAUAAUGCACAGAUACAGAGAAGAAACAUUCAGAUAUUAUCAUGCAAAUUAACUUGUGAGAGGAAAAAGGAAAGUACCCUGUACUGCUAAAGAUGCAUAAUUUCCAUAUUUAAAAUUUUAUGAUGACAGACUUGGUAGCAUAAACUAUCAAAUGGGUGAUUUUUGGAUAAGGGAAAACACAACAUGCUGAAAUGGGUUCAAAUUUUUACCAGUUAUAGAGAGCAGGUGAAGAAUUCAUUCCAACUUUUAGAGUUAGCCCAGUGAAACUUGGCUUACAGAAACAGCUAUGGAUUCUAGAAGUUGCGGAUAUACAUGAUUUUUGGGAGCUUCCAUUCUCUGUAAUUGAUAAUCUCCAAUGCAGAUUCAUGGAUCCCAUGCUAUAUAUAAGUCUUGAGAAUUGUUUUACAGCAUUUCACAGGACCCUAAUCUGCACAAGUUAAAAGCCUUAAGAACUUUGAUGUAAAACUUUACAUCAUGCAUCACUAAUUAAAUUACAAACAACAAGAUAAACUUUAAAAUUAGAAUAACAUAUUGGAUGGGAUAUAAUUGGGUAUAGUAUUCCUUUGGUGCUUCACUACAAAGUGGGUCAAAUCCCGAAAUUGAGCAAAAUAGUGUCUUGAAAACAAGAAAACAAGAAAACCCUGGAAAUUAUCGAAAGCUCAGGAUUUCGAAGUGGGGUUCAAUUUGAAUGCAAAAAAGAUAAGACAGGAAGAUGAUCCAGAUUAGUUUUUUAAACUUAUCUCACUCCUUGUAGGGAAAUUAAAUGUUUGAAUUAAAAUUAAUAGUAUCUAAACUAUUAGAUAUCCCUAUAUUUGAUAACUAUGGAGUAAAUUCAAAAAACUUUACCUAACUAAAUCCCCACCCAAAAGAUAAUAUAGUCAUUACCGUCACAUUAUUACGAUUUAAUUUCACGCCAUAAUUAUACUUUGUCAACACAAUCACAAUAUUAUGGCAUCACCCACCACAUCACCGAGUCUCCACAACUUUUUUUUGCUACUAUGGUCUCUUUUGGUUAAAUAAGAAAUGACUGUUUUCCAACAAAUGUCACUCCUAAAAAUCAAACUCUUACUUUUUGGUCAUCCAAAUUAUUUAAGGGAGAAACAACUCUGAAUAAACUUUCUACAUUGAGAUAUUAAAAUCAGCUCUAUGACUUAAUGUAAAAAAUCUGAAAUGAUUUCCUUCUAGUGUGUGGCUACUAGCUAGGGACAGGGUUUUUCUUCUGUGCUUGUUGGAUCUUGAUGCAAUCGUGUUCCUUGUCUCUAGAAAUAUUAUUGUAAGACUGGUUGAGUGGACCAUUAAGGUCCAAUUAUAGUAUUAGACAAAAGAGUAUCUCAUCAAAGGGGAUUACAAUGUAACAUAGAGAGUCUGUUUUUUGUUUUGUUGAUUUUAUAAUUAUUCUUAAUUACAUUCACCUUGUGGUUCUUUGUUUCAGGCUCUUGAUCUUUCUGUGGACCUGAGUGCUGCAAGUGCUGCAACUGAAGAAUAAGGUUGCUUGAAUCUAUAUACACACACACGUCCAAGUAUUAGAAAGAAAGCUUUUUAUCUUCAUUAUCUAAUAGUGAGAGAGCAAUAAAAAGAUAAAAAUCUUUGUAACUAUUGCUCGAGGGGCAAUUUAUGCCUCAUGUGGUUGCAUUCUUUAACUCAUGUCAGCUAUUUUUCAGUCAAUAUGAUUGUUGUCAUGAUUUUCCUGUUAUCAUGAAAUCUAUUUCAUUACCCAAAAAACUAAAAACAUGUGACUGUGAUAUACAGUAAGAUCAUAGCAAAUACGUGGUAUACUGCUGCAAAUUAAAAUUUGCCUUCCAAGAAAACUGAGGUUCAAAUGAAAACAUGUAAAGCUAGAUCUUUUAAUCCCUACAAACUUUUCUCAUCAAGCUUAGCAUUAAUAAUAAUAAUAAAACAAAAAAAUUCAUAUGUCUACUUACUAACACAAUGACUAUGCAAGAUUAUAUAAUGUGAUACUUAUGAGAUUAACAAAGUAAUCAAUCACCUUCCUCCUAGAUUCAGUUCAAGCAGAGGUCUUCACUAUUUCUAGUUUCCAUUCAAGGCACCAGGAAUUGAAUCCUAAAAUUUCAACCUGUUGCUUCAUAAUGCAUACCACUCCCAGCACUUAAUGAAGGUACACCAUCUGUUGCUAUAUAUAUAUUAACAAAAGGAGCAAUACCACAUUCAUAAUUUUUUAUAUUCACAUUGGUGCAUUAUUGCAUAAGUAGCUCCAUAUAAAGAUAUAAAAUUCAGGUAGCUCCAAAGCCCCUUACUUCAAAAGUUUCCUCUUAAACUCAGCAACCAGAACAGAUUUGCAAGAGAAAAUGAAGUCAGGGGUCAUGCUAUGCAUAUGCAAGUACGUAGCACUAUGCACAGAGCCACGAAGUUAUUAAGCAAUCUUCAUAUAUACUACUCAUAUAUAUCACAAUUACAUGUACACAAUUACUUUAAAACUUGGUAGCAUAAAGAGAAGGAACGCCAAACUUGAGGGUUACCAGAGUUUAUGAAAAAAUAAGAUAUUGCAUAGGGGCCAAGAUACAGCAAUAAAUUGAAAGGAGAAAGCGAGACCGACACGUUUUGGGGGUCCUUAGCUGCCUAACUUAAAAGCAUCCACAAAGAGGCCUAAACAUAUACCAGCUUUCCAAUAGUUCAUCAUCAUUAGAAAAGACUGCAGCCUCCUAGUCCUUACAGUAGGUGGCUUUUUAUACAUUAACAUACCAAUCCCCUCGAUUGCAGCCACUACAACACCAGCAACCAGAACAUCCCAAUCGCCGGUUUGUCCAAGGAUUGUAGCUAGUGCAUUUGCUGUGUAGAAACCCAAAAGUAGCAGGAAUAUUUUCAUAGGGAAGUUCUUUCUAGCUGAGUUCAGCUUUUCUAGAAGUUGUCUGCCACCUGCAGCCACUAUCCUACCCAAUCGAGUACCGCCAAAAUUGGAAUUAUCUUCGUUGAGGUUUUGUUGGUCACCAUUACCGGACAUUCCACCUGUGUUCAAGGCAAAAGCUACUCUCCACCCAGAUUUUAUCAGGAAACUGAUAAUGCACAGAUACAGAGAAGAAACAUUCAGAUAUUAUCAUGCAAAUUAACUUGUGAGAGGAAAAAGGAAAGUACCCUGUACUGCUAAAGAUGCAUAAUUUCCAUAUUUAAAAUUUUAUGAUGACAGACUUGGUAGCAUAAACUAUCAAAUGGGUGAUUUUUGGAUAAGGGAAAACACAACAUGCUGAAAUGGGUUCAAAUUUUUACCAGUUAUAGAGAGCAGGUGAAGAAUUCAUUCCAACUUUUAGAGUUAGCCCAGUGAAACUUGGCUUACAGAAACAGCUAUGGAUUCUAGA